Non-coding RNA from Struthio camelus australis, 405 nucleotides. The record is from RefSeq and is a predicted model, not a curated record. NCBI's taxonomy places the organism in Eukaryota, Metazoa, Chordata, Aves, Struthioniformes, Struthionidae.
CUUCGUUUAUUGGCAUCAUUAGUUUACUGUUUUCCAAAGAUGAUGGAGUUCUUGCAAGUUGUAAAAAGCUUCUCAAGUUUAUGUCACAAACCUUCUGAAAAAGAAGUUCUUCAAGGACCAGAGCUCAACAGUGAUUCAAAUACCAUAUUCUGUCACUUAAUAAUUCUGUGGAAGGAUGCACCCAGGAAACCCUCAGAGCGCUGUGAGUCAGGUGGUAUAUGCCUCGGUGUAUGUGUCCAUACGCCUGCAUGUUCACAGGCAGCAGAGUGACAAGAUGACGACGGCAGAGCAGAAAAUACUGAUUUUGGCCCAACGGUUCAUCUGGAAGCUGUAUUUGUUUACCACCAAAUUGUGAACCAAAGCAGUUGCUACCUGCGAAACAUGGUUCUCCUAUUGUUAUUUGCC